Cricetulus griseus (Chinese hamster) is the source of this 501-nucleotide non-coding RNA. Lineage: Eukaryota; Metazoa; Chordata; Mammalia; Rodentia; Cricetidae. The record is from RefSeq and is a predicted model, not a curated record.
AGGUCUCUGGGCUACCCAGCCUCUGGGUCCUGCUCUUCCAGACUCAGUAGAAGAGGUGCCAAGUCUUAACUGCAGCUUGAUGUGCCAUGGCUGGCUGACACACAUAGGAGCCCUUUUCUGAAGAGAAAGGAGGAGGAGUAUAUGGCGAUUUGGGUACAUUCUCCCUCUAGAAUGAAAUUAUUGUCCUUCAUUUGGAAAAAAGAAAAUGAAAUUUGCUGGGACACUGAAAUACACAGACUAUUAUAAUACCCUCAAGGGAAGAAAGUUAAAUGGCAAUUACACUGGGGAUCUACAGUGAAGACUCUCCCUGCAUCCUGGAUCUGCCUCCUCCACUGCGGCCCUCUUGAGAACAGAGAGAAUCCUAUAUAUGCAGGGCCACAGAUUGACCUGCCAGUCAAGGUGUGUUUCCGACUCUCCCCUUCAUCCACCGAAAAAGGUAAGUGUGUCCUUCGAAAGAUAUGUUUCAAAAGAUUCCUUGUUUCCCACUCCAUGUCUAGCACA